UACACAUGUGCCACUUGACAAGUGAAAACAGGUCUUCGGGAUAUUUUAAAUCGAAAAUAUCUUCCACUGAACAAGCUGCAAUUCAUCCAAGCAAUCAGAGUUGUCCAGUGACAAAAAGGUUUUGGAGAACUUUAAAAAGAGUGUCACCUUUCUGUAUUACUUUCGAAAACUAAAAUCAUUAUAUUAUGGACGCUCAGCAACAACUACAUGAUCGUAUCAAACAUUUUAUAUUGAGAAAAACUUUUGAAAUCGCAUUCAAUCUUUGUGACGGUGUUGGGAGAGUGGCUUCAGCAUUGGAUGGAGACGACUCAAAUACAGAUAUCUACCAUGUUGACUUCAUCAUUGGAAUUAUAGAGCAAAUGUUGGAGUUGUACAACAUAAAGUUUCAAAAAUUACAAAAUGCAAUGGCAUUCAUUCUGGCAAACGUUGAGGAUAUUUCUGCCAGAACCCUUUCAAUGUAUGAAACCUCUUCAGACAAAAAAGAUACCCUGAUCCACAUCAUACUUUAAACUAAAGUAAUUUUAUGACAAGACAAGUAAGAUUUAUACAUGGAUUUAAAAGCACAAGAAAUAAUCAUAAUGCAAGCAAUUUUUGAUAGAAUUCAACUCAAUUAGAAAUAAAAUAGAAUUCACUCAUUUUAAUUACAUUUGAUUAUCUAUGAUAUCGAGAUAAUAUAGUUUUUAGAAGACGUAUCUUAUAAUAUAUUUUAGAUGUACUAUAUUCAUAUACACCUACUUGCAGAAACGUUGUCAUAGGAAAUAGGACAUUUGUAUAAAUUAGUAAAAAGGAAUAAAUUAAAACAAGACAAAGGGAGAUCACUGAGGCUGAACGCUUUCUUUUGUCUUGUUUUAAUUUAUUCCUUUUUACUAAAUUCAAAUGUUCUAUUUUCUAUGACAACGUUUUUGCAAGUAGGUGUAUAUUCAUAGUUGUAUAUUUAAUUCACUGGUGUUCAAUCUUGUACAACCCCAAGCCUUCGUUCUUUUGGCCAACGCCAAAAAUGUUUGUCGACUACGCUGGCCAAAAAAACGAAGGCUCGGGGUACGAGAUUGACUGGUGUUAUGGUAGGAAAUUUAUAAAUCCUGCUGCCAAAGGAAGAACAAUCAAUCAUUUUGAUUUUUAACCUAUAAUUAGCAAUGCUUUGCUCAGUAGAUUAGCAUUGACCAGAUGUAUCCUGAGGUAUUGUGUUCUCUGCACUUGACGUCAAAUUUAUUCUUUUGAAUUUUUUACAAUACAAAAGGAAUUCAAAAGUGUAAAUUUUCAAGUGUAGAGAACACA
Molecule: long non-coding RNA, 1275 nt
Organism: Exaiptasia diaphana
Lineage: Eukaryota; Metazoa; Cnidaria; Anthozoa; Actiniaria; Aiptasiidae
Exons: 5
Source: RefSeq, a predicted model, not a curated record